RNAcentral lists this ribosomal RNA (351 nucleotides) under uncultured bacterium. Its description in RNAcentral is "bacterial SSU rRNA". It matches the Rfam family "Bacterial small subunit ribosomal RNA", at positions 917 to 1267 of the family's 1533-position model. The record is from RNAcentral.
GGGCCCGCACAAGCGGUGGAGCAUGUGGUUUAAUUCGAUGAUACGCGAGGAACCUUACCAGGGCUUAAAUGCAGAAUGACAGAUUGGGAAACCAGUCCUUCUUCGGACAUUUUGCAAGGUGCUGCAUGGUUGUCGUCAGCUCGUGCCGUGAGGUGUCAGUUAAGUCCUAUAACGAGCGCAACCCCUAUCAUUAGUUGCCAGCGGGUAAUGCCGGGAAACUCUAAUGCAGACUGCCAGCGCAAGCUGCGAGGAAGGUGGGGAUGACGUCAAAUCAUCACGGCCCUUACCGUGCCUGGGCUACACACGUGCUACAAUGGUUGGGACAAUGGGCAGCCACUACGCGAGUAGGAG